Molecule: ribosomal RNA, 164 nt
Filed under: uncultured bacterium
Lineage: Bacteria
Description: partial 16S rRNA
Rfam family: Bacterial small subunit ribosomal RNA
Source: RNAcentral
UGGGGAAUUUUGGACAAUGGGCGAAAGCCUGAUCCAGCAAUGCCGCGUGCAGGAUGAAGGCCCUCGGGUUGUAAACUGCUUUUGUACGGAACGAAAAGCCUGGGGCCAAUACCCCCGGGUNAUGACGGUACCGUAAGAAUAAGCACCGGCUAACUACGUGCCAA